AGUGCUCGCAAGAGAACCGGAACACAGGUGCUGCAUGGUUGUCGUCAGCUCGUGUCGUGAGAUGUUGGGUUAAGUCCCGCAACGAGCGCAACCCCUAUUGUUAGUUGCCAUCAUUCAGUUGGGCACUCUAGCGAGACUGCCGGUAAUAAACCGGAGGAAGGUGGGGAUGACGUCAAAUCAUCAUGCCCCUUAUGACCUGGGCUACACACGUGCUACAAUGGUUGGUACAACGAGUUGCGAGUCGGUGACGGCGAGCUAAUCUCUUAAAGCCAAUCUCAGUUCGGAUCGCAGUCUGCAACUCGACUGCGUGAAGUCGGAAUCGCUAGUAAUCGUGGAUCAGCAUGUCACGGUGAAUACGUUCCCGGGUCUU
Molecule: ribosomal RNA, 370 nt
Filed under: uncultured Streptococcus sp.
Lineage: Bacteria; Bacillati; Bacillota; Bacilli; Lactobacillales; Streptococcaceae
Description: bacterial SSU rRNA
Rfam family: Bacterial small subunit ribosomal RNA
Source: RNAcentral